RNAcentral lists this ribosomal RNA (489 nucleotides) under uncultured bacterium. RNAcentral's name for it is "partial 16S ribosomal RNA". It matches the Rfam family "Bacterial small subunit ribosomal RNA", at positions 28 to 523 of the family's 1533-position model. The record is from RNAcentral.
GACGAACGCUGGCGGCGUGCUUAACACAUGCAAGUCGAGCGGAAAGGCCCUUUCGGGGGUACUCGAGCGGCGAACGGGUGAGUAACACGUGAGUAAUCUGCCCUUGGCUUUGGGAUAACCACAGGAAACGGUGGCUAAUACCGGAUAUGAAGCGCCCCGGCAUCGGGGUGUGUGGAAAGGUUUUUCGGCCAGGGAUGUGCUCGCGGCCUAUCAGUUGGUUGGUGGGGUAAUGGCCUACCAAGGCCUCGACGGGGAGCCGGCAGGGGAGGGUGACCGGCCACACUGGGACGAAGACACGGCCCAGACUCCUACGGGAGGCAGCAGUGGGGGAUAUUGGACAAUGGGCGGUAGCCUGAUCCAGCAACGCCGCGUGAGGGAUGGCGGCCUUCUGGUUGUAAUCCUCUUUCAGUACCGACGAAGCGCCGAUGAUGGUGGUGACGGUAGGUACAGAAGAAUCACCGGCCAACUACGUGCCAGCAGCCGCGGUAA